AACGCACAUUGCGCCCCCUGGUAUUCCGGGGGGCACGCCUGUCCGAGCGCCGUUUUCACCCCUCAAGCAAGGCUUGUUGUUGGGGCCCCGCCCGCCUCUGCGCUGGCGCGCCCUCGAAUCCAUCGGCGCGGCCGUAGGCCUCCCCAGACACCGCGUUGUCAGAGGGUCGCCGGCGACCGCCGCCUCGAAAACGAACCGCAAAACUUGGCCUCGGAUCAGGCGGGGAUACCCGCUGAACUUAA
Molecule: unclassified non-coding RNA, 242 nt
Filed under: uncultured fungus
Lineage: Eukaryota; Fungi
Description: partial contains 5.8S ribosomal RNA, internal transcribed spacer 2, and large subunit ribosomal RNA
Source: RNAcentral